This 672-nucleotide unclassified non-coding RNA is filed under the name Hevea brasiliensis (rubber tree). Lineage: Eukaryota; Viridiplantae; Streptophyta; Magnoliopsida; Malpighiales; Euphorbiaceae. The record is from RNAcentral.
GCUUUUUUUGCAGAAAUGUCCAUAACUCAGCGUAGUGAUAGCAUGAACUCGUAUUUUGAUGGUUAUGUGAAUGCGUCAACUAAUCUAAAUCAGUUCUUCAAAUUGUAUGAGAAAGCUGUGGAGAGCCGUACUGAAAAAGAAGUCAAAGCUGAUUAUGAUACAAUGAGUACAUUUCCAGUUUUGAAGACCCCUUCUCCAAUGGAGAAGCAAGCAUCCGAGGUUUACACGAAAAAGUUAUUUAUGAGAUUUCAGGAGGAGUUGGUUGCCACUCUAACUUUCAUGGCGAACAAAGUUGAGGAUGAUGGACUAGUUACCACUUAUCAAGUUGCUAAAUUUGGGGAUGACCACAGUGCUUACUAUGUAAGAUUUAAUGUUUUAGAAAUGAAAGCUACUUGUAGCUGCCAGAUGUUUGAGUUCUCAGGACUUCUUUGUCGCCACGUUUUAGCAGUGUUCAGAGUGACAAAUGUUCUGACUCUUCCUUCUCAUUACAUCCUCAAACGAUGGAGCCGAAGUGCAAAGAGCAGUGUUGCAUUGGAAGACCGCGUUGCUGAUGUAAUCAAUUAUUAUUUGGAAUCACAUACUGUUCGAUAUAAUAUGCUGAGACAUGAAGCAUUUAAGUUUGUGGAGGAAGGGGCAGAGACUGUUGAUUCUUAUACUGUGGCAAUGGCUGCU